GUCCAGGGAUGGUGCCUAGUGGACAUGGCAUCUGCCCGGUAAGCGGAACACUGUGGGUUCGUUUCCCAACUCUGGACA
This is a non-coding RNA of Cordylochernes scorpioides, 78 nucleotides long. The record is from the annotation of a GenBank genome assembly. NCBI's taxonomy places the organism in Eukaryota, Metazoa, Arthropoda, Arachnida, Pseudoscorpiones, Chernetidae.